Molecule: RNase P RNA, 334 nt
Filed under: chicken gut metagenome
Description: Bacterial RNase P class A
Rfam family: Bacterial RNase P class A
About the family: Ribonuclease P (RNase P) is a ubiquitous endoribonuclease, found in archaea, bacteria and eukarya as well as chloroplasts and mitochondria.
Source: RNAcentral
AUGUAAUCGCGGCUGACAGAACCGAAAGGGGUCAGGUGAGGAAAGUCCGGGCUUCACAGGGCAGGAUACCGGAUAACGUCCGGCGGAGGCGACUCCAGGGACAGUGCAACAGAAAUAUACCGCCAGGCAGCUGGUAAGGGUGGAAAGGCAGUGUAAGAGACUACCGCCCCGGUGGUGACAGCGGGGGCACAUGUAAACCCUAUCCGAAGCAAGACCGAACAGAAAACCAUGUGGCUGCCCGUCACGUUUUCAGGUGGGUCGCUUGAGCCUGCCGGCAACGGCAGGACUAGAUAGAUGAUUACACACGACAUAACCCGGCUUAUCGUUCUGCUUA